Molecule: small nucleolar RNA, 266 nt
Filed under: Henningerozyma blattae CBS 6284
Lineage: Eukaryota; Fungi; Ascomycota; Saccharomycetes; Saccharomycetales; Saccharomycetaceae
Source: RNAcentral
AGGACACUCAACACAUUUGAUAUGUUCAAUUAGAUUGCAUUAGUGGGGCUAAUGGAGUUAGUUCUGACGCUAAGAUUCGAAGUAUUUUCGGUUUUAGUAUUUAGGCUUCUUCUGUUAAUUCUAAUAUCUGAUAUAUAUCUUCCCUACGCAUAAAGAAUAAGCUCGAGAUGCCCAAAUUUGGAACUUUGUUCUACGCCUUUUUCGCUAACAACGGCUGAAAUUUUGACCCCACAGCUCGUAGUUUGAUAGUAGAUGGGCGGAAAUAU